CACAAAAUGAGACAGAGGAUUGUUGUGGGAACUGUGUACUAGUGACAAUAUUUCAUGAUGGCUUCGGUUAGGGAGGCAAGUAUGAGCUGACUUGUCCCCUAUUGUGCGGUAGCUAACUGAUAAUCCUGUGGUGGGAAUGGAAAGUGUAAGGUGCUGUAUUUCUACUAAAGCUCUUCUCUGCUAAGCCUGAGAUUCUCUUUCAUGAACAACUGCAGGGGAACCUCACACCAUAUAAGGAGGAGCAGGAGCACUAGGAGACAGAUAUUAACCAACACUGUGAAUGCCAUUCGAGGUAAAGUCUUCUCCAUCAAAGGCUGUUGAUGAAGAACCAGGCUUCUGCCAUGUGCUCACACUUCUUCAAACUGAUGACAUCCCAUGGUGAAGGUGAAGCUGGAGGGAGUAGAGGUGCCUGCGUACUUCACAAUGAGAUCCAGUUUCAACAUGUGAAGCCUUGGGGGACACACUCAACGAUGUCCAAAUGGCUGGGACUCUAGCUGCUUUGACAAAGUGCUCAGAAGUAUCCAAAUUCAUUACAAUGGUGCAUGGAAAACCAGAUUUGCAAGUUUUGGAGGAGGUUGAAAGUGAAUCAUCAGGUGACUCAUGCAUUGAUGAUGAUGAUGAUGAUGAUAAUUGAUGUUGGCCGUGUGAGCCAAAGUUCCUGUGAUGCUGAAAUGGAGCAAGAAUUGACUGAUAUAGACACAAGGAAUAAAGACCUCCCUGAUUCAGAUGAUGAAGAAAACAGCAAUCUUAGUACAUGUAUGACUAGUCCAAAUGGUACAAAAUGGUCAUGAAACCAAAUGAAAUGAUCCAAUGUUAGAACUAGGUCCAAAAAUAUAGUGAGGAUCUUGGCAGGGUGAAUCCAAUUGGAUGGAAUGUCAGCACUACCAUUCAAUGUUGGAAAUUAUUUGUAAGAGAAAAAAUGCUACAAGAUGUUGUGAAAUUCACAAAUGAUGAAAUACAAGUAAAAAGUUCUUUAUGCAUUGAUAACCAUACUAAAAAAUGUGUUUAUUGUGACCUCUUACUAGCUGAACUGAAAGCAUUCUCUUACUUUCUGAACUGAAAGCAUUCAUAGGUCUGCUGUACUUAGCAGGGCUUUCUCAUGAUAAUUGCAGGAAUUUAAAAGCUUUAUGGAGAAGUGAUGAGUGU
This 1146-nucleotide long non-coding RNA is filed under the name Heterocephalus glaber (naked mole-rat). Its description in RNAcentral is "lncRNA (ENSHGLG00100041131.1)". Lineage: Eukaryota; Metazoa; Chordata; Mammalia; Rodentia; Bathyergidae. The record is from RNAcentral.